CAGCAGCAGCCACGGUAAUACGUAGGUGGCAAGCGUUGUCCGGAAUUAUUGGGCGUAAAGGGAGCGUAGGCGGUUUGACAAGUCUUAUGUGAGAUCUUCGGGCUCAACCCGAAGUCUGCAUGAGAAACUGUUGAGCUUGAGUAUGGGAGAGGUGAGUGGAAUUUCCGGUGUAGCGGUGAAAUGCGUAGAUAUCGGAAGGAACACCUGUGGCGAAAGCGGCUCACUGGACCAUAACUGACGCUGAGGCACGAAAGCUAGGGGAACAAACAGGAUUAGAUACCCCAGUAGUCCCUGUCUCUUAUAC
Molecule: ribosomal RNA, 304 nt
Filed under: uncultured bacterium
Lineage: Bacteria
Description: partial 16S ribosomal RNA
Rfam family: Bacterial small subunit ribosomal RNA
Source: RNAcentral